CCAUACCCUGACUUUGCUGAUGGGGUGUCGGAAGCACUUGUUGUCUCCGGUCUCGCUGAGCGUGAUGGCAUAGAAUUGUCCUUUGUUGAGAGUUCUCAGUGAAAAGGAGCCUCCCAGAACCCACCUUGAUGUCUGGUCGUACAUGUACUCCUCGGCCCCAACGGAAGCACUCCGAAAUUUCUGCAAGAUUCAAGUCAACAAUUUAAAACAAAUAGAGACUGCACGGCACAAGCACGAUGGAAGAGCGGCCAGAAGCACAGCUAGUGAAGCAAGACUGCCCAAGGGAGCGAUUUAUUAUCAUUGAAAGCUCUGAAAGGCUCGCCAUCACUGACCUAGGGUAAAGCACCAGUACUACUCCGACAGCUGCGUGACAAGAAACAAAUGUGACAUUUGCUCCAUGUUACAUGGCCACUGACAGGGAUCAGAAGGAAUACACAGAUUAAUAAAGUACUAAGAACAAUGACUGAUAUACAUAAACACAAUAUCUGCUUACUAAGUACUAAUAAAUAAAAGCAAAUGACCAUAUUAUAGUACUUUAAGAGUAG
Molecule: long non-coding RNA, 545 nt
Organism: Octodon degus (degu)
Lineage: Eukaryota; Metazoa; Chordata; Mammalia; Rodentia; Octodontidae
Exons: 3
Source: RefSeq, a predicted model, not a curated record